UACGUAGGGGGCAAGCGUUGUCCGGAAUCAUUGGGCGUAAAGCGCGUGUAGGCGGUUCGGUAAGUCUGCUGUGGAAGUCCAGGGCUCAACCUGGGAAUGGCAGUGGAUACUGGGUCGCUAGAGUGUGAUAGAGGAUGGUGGAAUUCCCGGUGUAGCGGUGAAAUGCGUAGAGAUCGGGAGGAACAUCAGUGGCGAAGGCGGCCAUCUGGAUCAACACUGACGCUGAGGCACGAAAGCGUGGGGAGCAAACAGG
Molecule: ribosomal RNA, 253 nt
Filed under: uncultured bacterium
Lineage: Bacteria
Description: partial 16S ribosomal RNA
Rfam family: Bacterial small subunit ribosomal RNA
Source: RNAcentral